RNAcentral lists this ribosomal RNA (301 nucleotides) under uncultured bacterium. Its description in RNAcentral is "partial 16S ribosomal RNA". It matches the Rfam family "Bacterial small subunit ribosomal RNA", at positions 509 to 807 of the family's 1533-position model. The record is from RNAcentral.
CAGUAGCCGCGGUAAUACGUAGGUGGCAAGCGUUGUCCGGAAUUAUUGGGCGUAAAGCGCGCGCAGGUGGUUUAAUAAGUCUGAUGUGAAAGCCCACGGCUCAACCGUGGAGGGUCAUUGGAAACUGUUAAACUUGAGUGCAGGAGAGAAAAGUAGAAUUCCUAGUGUAGCGGUGAAAUGCGUAGAGAUUAGGAGGAGCACCAGUGGCGAAGGCGGCUUUUUGGCCUGUAACUGACACUGAGGCGCGAAAGCGUGGGGAGCAAACAGGAUUAGAUACCCCUGUAGUCCCUGUCUCUUAUAC